This 1231-nucleotide long non-coding RNA is filed under the name Trifolium pratense (red clover). RNAcentral's name for it is "long non-coding RNA (TPRA_LNC005156)". The record is from RNAcentral. Lineage: Eukaryota; Viridiplantae; Streptophyta; Magnoliopsida; Fabales; Fabaceae.
CAAAUUUCAACAACAACUCGAGCUUAAAUAUAUCAUCUGCAAACAACCCAUGAAUCGUUUAAAUACAAAAAGAAAACCAAAGAAAGAGAUCCAGAAAAUCAAGAGUGAUACCUACACUUUGGGAGAACAUGAUUCAAAUUUGGUGAAUGAAACUUUUACCUCCUGAUGCGAGAAUGUGAAAAACAAAAUAAAAAGAGGAUUAGAAAAUUAGGGAUCCUAAAGUAAAUUGAAGAAAAUUAGGGAUUUCAAAAAUGAACAUACCUUAGAGGGAGGAGCUCAGUUUCAAUAUACAUGGAUAUUUUGGAGUUCAUCAAAUGAAGAAGUGUGUGUCUAUGGUGUUUAGAGAGAGAGAGAGAUGAGAGUUUGAAAUUUGAAAGUUGAGAAUUUGUUUUCAAUAUCCAUGGGUUGAGGUUUUGUUUGACUUGGGUUGAAAGUGACGGGACACUGUUCCUUUGCUUGCUGUCUGACCAGGUUUUGUCCAUAUCCAAUUUAAGUUUGUUUGUUCACCAAAAUAGGAUCCAAGGAUAACAAAAGAAGAGGGAAAUUCAAACUUUUGAAUUUUACUUCCAACUCAAGCAACCAAGUUGGACCACUAAGUUAAAAAGGGUAAAAAUCUCUUAUUUGAAUUGGCAAAGACCUAUAAAAAUCUCUUAUUUGAAUUGGCAAAGACAUAUAAUAAAAUUUGCUUAAAUUUGCUACUCCCAAAUUUCACUUCAACAUGGAUAUACACUUUGACAAUAGAUAUGAUCCUGAAAAAAAUAAAAAGGUUUUUUUCUCAUAAGAUAUCAAAGCCUUUCCAAUCAAUAACAUAUCAAAGUCUUUAUAAUAAUAACAAUAGUAUAUUUUAUGAGGAAUGUAUAAUAUUUUACUCACAAUAAUAUAUGUGCUCAAAGGAAACAUGUUAAUUUUGCUCCAUCAUCUUCUUAGUUACCAUCCUUUGAACUCAACCUGCAAUAUUAUACAGUGAGGGUGUCAAAAAAUAGCACUUAAUUUUGUAACACGGUAAUAUGAGGAAGACAAAUAAGCAAAAUUUCCCUAACAUGAGUUUGCAUUUGUAUAUUAUUAAGAUUGGAUAAAAGAAAACAUAUACAUACUUCAGUCAACUAUAUACAAAACAGAGCAAAGUGAUCUUUAAACUAUGAGAAUCUACUUUUUUAAAACUUUAGACCAUUACAAACUGAGCUAUAUACUAUUUAGAUUGUCAUGAAGCAUGAUAUAAUAUAUCUAAUAG